Long non-coding RNA from Numida meleagris (helmeted guineafowl), 562 nucleotides. RefSeq lists it as uncharacterized. Lineage: Eukaryota; Metazoa; Chordata; Aves; Galliformes; Numididae. The record is from RefSeq and is a predicted model, not a curated record. The transcript is spliced from 3 exons.
UGAGAGUGUCUCUUCUGAAGGUUUUUGUGUACCUGAGGCCUUCCAAAGAGAAUGGACAAAAUAGGCUGCCUAGAGACAAGAACAAAAAAGGAGCGGACACAAUGUUACUUCCCUGAACACUCUCUUGGUCUCCACCAGUUUGCUGCUCAGGGACUGCCUGACACACAGAUGUCUGUAUAUUCACUCAGGAGACAUUGUUAAUGUUGAUGAAGAUCCUGCUUGUAACUGAGCUCAUGCUGAUAAAGACAGAAGAAAGCCAGGCUGUUCUGAAGCUUGUUUGAAGAUUAAAUACAUCUGGAUUGGACAAUUUUGAAUUUGAAACCAUGAGAGGCUAUAGUGAUUCAUUGUGAAUUGAGGAUGAAAUAGCCAUGGCAGCCUUCCAGCAUUAAGGAGUAUUAAUUGAGCAUGAGGUAAUGCAAACACUUACCUAUUUGUGACAGAAGUUAAGUUCCUCAGGCAGUCACAGUUAUUGAAAUAAAACUUGGUGGAAGGUCUUAGUGUUAUCCAGAAUAUAUGGCCAUCUUGCUAUAUUUUUAGUGCUAAAAUCCAACUAGUAUUCAAA